Long non-coding RNA from Poecilia reticulata (guppy), 1240 nucleotides. RefSeq lists it as uncharacterized. NCBI's taxonomy places the organism in Eukaryota, Metazoa, Chordata, Actinopteri, Cyprinodontiformes, Poeciliidae. The record is from RefSeq and is a predicted model, not a curated record.
UAAGUGCGUAUAAGGUGACGUGCCGCCAACGUAUCAAAGUGGGAGGGAUAUCAUCCUACAAAUAUGUGCCAUCUUUCCCCCCCAACACCAACCAUGGGAAGUAAAUUUAAAAAUCGACCAGAAACCACUCCGACGACCAGACACAAGGCAAGAAAAAAAAAUCCAAAAACUCUCCGUCCAGAGAAUGAAAGGGUGAGGGAAGACUCGGGAAAUGCAUGAGACAAGAAACGUCAAAAAAAAAAAAAAAAGAAAAGCCAGCAUUAAAGAAGAUCUGUUGACAACUCAACAUACUGUGAAGGUUAUUUCCUUGAAUCCAGGUAGUUUGGGAACCUUUCGACGCUUUCUCCAGAACAGGAAUGAAUGCAAGAGACAGAAGACAAGCCGUAAAAGCGUGUGGGGACRCAUCCUGGAACGAUGUGAGACGCCAAGGGUGACUUUGAAAGAGGAAGAUGGGUAGCCCUCAGCACUUUUCCCUGAUCUCCAAGGAGGGCAGUAUGUGUGAAUGCACAGUUGCCUCUGUGCAUCGGCAUGUUGUCCUGAGGCAUUACUCUUGUUAAAGUUAUUAGAGAAGAUGUUUAGCACUAAUCAGAGGAGGGCCAAAGGGACCAAAGCUAAAUGGCCUCAUCAUCACAGGGCCCUGGCGGUGAUAAAUCUAGCCCCAAGCAUUAAGAGGUCCGGCUGAAUGUGUAGAUGCAAAGCAGUGCAAUGUAAAUCAGUACUUAGAAAUUGAAUUUGGUCCUUUUUUUAUCUGCUUUGUAGACAAAUUACUUUUUUUUUCUUUUUUUUUAUCAAAACAAUGAAGUACUCAAUCUUACUGAGGAUUUUUUAGUUUUAAUUAUUACUCUUAUAUUUUAAGUUCGUUCCUUUUUCAAUGUAACAAAGGAUAAAAAAAAAGAAACAAUGGAAACGUGAGGAAACACGUCCAUCCUUAUUUCUCUUUGUUCACUGCUUUUAUAGAUCGGAUUGUUUCCUACUUUCUCCACUUAGUUUUUUUCCAGUAAACCCCAUUCUCUUCCUUCACCGGGUGAUCUAGCCUCGAGCAAACUAGAACGUAAUGUUAAGGCACUAACUACAGUGUGUCUGCACACAGACCCAGCAGAGAGAAAGAAACAAUCAUGUGUGAAAUUAGAUUUCUCCACAAACAGAGGGGAGUCAGAGCCAUAAAGUACACCAAGCUCCUUGGCUUUGAGGGAUCAGCCAAAACUAAAUAAAUAAAUAAAAAAUUGUACAAAUACCUUCA